AACAGAAAAACUUCCUACAACUGUGCUGUCCAACAAUGGUAUUACAUUUAUUAAUAAUUGAAAAUGAAGAGCAGAGAUGUUUAAUGGUAGAAAGACUAUUAGAGGACCCUGAGGAUGUGUUAAAUUUUGAUGAAAAAACACUUAUAAGUAAUUACAGACUGCCACGCAACAUGAUAUUACAGUUGGCACAGGAAUACAACCAGCAUUACAGAGACAAAAAAAGCAUCACAAAGCAUUACCGCUUAUAGUGCAAGUGACUAAUGCCUUACAGUUUUUUGCAAAUGGUGAUUUUUAAAGUGAAGUAGCUUCUAUUAUUUUGUUUACCUCAUCAGCAGCUUGCGCAGUGUUGGUUGCUUGGUAACAGACCUAAAAGUGGAUUGUCAAGCAUGAUAAUGGAAUUUAAGAUUUCCUAAUUAGAGAUAAGAUACAGUUUUGUGAGAUAGGAUAAGAAUCCCAAAUCAGGUUAUACGCCUCCUGGUGAGCAAAAGAAGCUUCUUUCAAAAACACUGAAAAUCUUACCACUUCCUAAUGUAUAUUGUGAUUUAAAUUUUUCCCAAAUCAGCGCCUGGAAGAAAUCAUGAAAAGAACAAGACAGACAGGCUCUGAUGACAAGAAAGCUGCAUCAGUAAAGGACAACUUGCCUUGUGACAACGUGAAGUCUGUAAUCAGGCAACCAGAUCCAGGAAAAAUGCCAAAGCUGGAGCUGAGGGACGAGGAGGAUAUGCUUCCUACUGUGGCCUUCAAGGAGCGACGGUCCUUCCGCAGUCUUUCUGGCCUGGAUGAGAUACAAGCCCAUCAGCAAACCGAGGUUAUUUAACCCACGGACCUGUCUUACAAUGCCAAGAUCGUCAGAGCAACUUCAGCAAGUUUGUCUUUCUGACAAACACAAAUACAACAUAUGCACUUGAUUUCCCUGCACUUUAAUAAACCUGUAGUUUAAUAAAGUCA
Molecule: long non-coding RNA, 948 nt
Organism: Cyprinus carpio (common carp)
Lineage: Eukaryota; Metazoa; Chordata; Actinopteri; Cypriniformes; Cyprinidae
Source: Ensembl